AAUAUAUACUGUGCAAUAUAUGUGUAAAUGCUUUUUUGCCUUCUAGAAUUGGGUUGUAAGUAAAUUUGGAAGAAUCUUACCUAUUCUUCACCUUAAGAGUCAACAUAAACAUAAAAUUAUGAAAUAUGAUCCAUCAAAAUACUGCCACAACCUAAAGAAGAUAGAGGAGAAUUUCACAGAUAUCGUUCCCAUAACUAGCCUCACUUGGGAAUUGGAAGGCAGCAAUGACCCUAUGAGUAAGAAACGUCAAGGAGAGUUCUCUGACUUUCAUGGCCCUCCCAAGAAGAUCAUAAAAGUACAGAAGGAUGAGGGUUCCAUGGAAUCCAAAGUUUCUGAUAAGAAUUCAAAGACUAAUCAAAUGCUAGAGAAUAACAUAUCAACACAGCAUGGUUCCAUUACUCCUUUUAAACCACUCCUUGCGUCCAAUUCUGAUACAAGACCUCUUCAUACUUCUGAUUUUGACAUUAUUUGGAAGAGAAGUAGCAUGUCUAAUCAUGAUGACCUUGACUCUGAAGGCGAAUUAAAAAUGAUGAUUGCAGAAGAGGAAAACUUACAAAAAACUAGAUGUUCCUCAGUAAAUGAAUCUGAAAGUGAUCCCUUUGAAGUUGUGAGGGAUGAUUUCAAAUCAGAUAUUCACAGACUACAUUCACCAGCCAGUUUAGGAAUCAGUAAUGUCUCCUGUCAUGUUAGCAAUGGUAACAUAGGAAAUGACUGUAAAUAUGAUUCAAGUGAUACAGAUGAAAUUAUUGCAAUGAAAAAAAGCAUUGAUAAGACCAAAAAAAGUACAGAAUGUUCACAAACAGAAAAACCUAUAAACAACAAACGUUCUUUCAGAAAGAAAGAUUUUUCAACUGAUUGUAUUAAAUUACAAAAAGCUAAAAACAGUGAAGAAUUGACCCUAAGUCAUGGAGUAAAGUCUCUCAAUCAUAAAUCUCCAUCUGACUCCAGCAGUAGUGACAGUGAAAAGUCCGAAGGUGAAGAAGAGUAUAAAGCCUUGAUGAAAAACUGUCCCCGUUUGAGCCUCACUUUGGCUGAUUUGGAGAAGUUGGCUAGCAAUCACCAGGAGAUUCCAGGAAAAGAUGAGAGUGAUGGCCUUCAGACUCCUAAACACUACAAGUCCGACAGAGUCUCCAAGAGUCCCAAGACUCCCCAUGGCCUCCACAGUAGCCGACAGUGCAUCCAUCCUGAAGAGAUUGUGGCCUCCCUUUUAGAGGAAGAGAACACUUACAGUAAGCAGAAACCAGAGGGAAACAACUUAAAACCAAAAUUCCAGGAGUUCAAGGGAAUAGGCUGUCUCUAUGCAAGGGAAUCGGUGGACAAAACCGUGAAAGAAAAUGAUAUCUUUAAUAAUAUUACUGAACAUCAGAGUUCCUUGAAACCUGAAGAUCCCGAUAGCAUUUCUUUAGAAAACAGAUCCAAGUGUGCUAAUGGCCUAUCAAACAAAUCAACUUUAUUGCAACCUGCAAAGAAAGUGAACAGCCAAGGCCACAUUCAGCCUCAAAAAAUAAAGUUUACUUUUGAGAGCCAGAACCAUAUGAUAAUGUCCUCUACCAGUUCUGAAAAGGGAAGUAAAAAUCCUAUCUCGUGUCUAUUGCCAUUAAAAGGUAAAAAGUCUUUAAGUCUUAGUGUAAAGAGCCAUAAAAUAGACUUUGACAAAGAUGCUUGCCAUAGUCUUGAAAAUAGAGGCACUUCAAAAAAAGAGAGGUCUGAUUCAAGCAGCCUUACAUCUCUUGAGAUACCACCAGAGGUCUCUUCCAGGAAAGCACCUCAGAAAAGCACAACUAGUAUCUUACUUUCUUUGAGUGAUGUGUCAGACAUGAAUGCUAAGGAUAAGCAUGCCAAAGACAAUCAGAAGCGAUUGGCAGCCUUGGCAGCAAGGCAGAAAGCCAGAGAGGUACAGAAGAAGCUGGUGCAUAAUGCACUGGCAAAUUUGGAUGGUCGUCCAGAGGAUAAAACAACACACAUCAUCUUUGCUUCUGAUAGUGAAAAUGAAAUGGAAAAGACAUCAAUACAAGAGCAAAGCUUUCCAAGAGAGGAACUGGUAGAAGUAAGAUCUUCCAGACAUUUCCUGUGGAUAUUAGUGUACUUUGUUAGUCCCCUCUCCUC
Molecule: long non-coding RNA, 2106 nt
Filed under: Nannospalax galili (Upper Galilee mountains blind mole rat)
Lineage: Eukaryota; Metazoa; Chordata; Mammalia; Rodentia; Spalacidae
Description: lncRNA (ENSNGAG00000024490.1)
Source: RNAcentral